RNAcentral lists this ribosomal RNA (591 nucleotides) under Triticum aestivum (bread wheat). RNAcentral's name for it is "partial small subunit ribosomal RNA". Lineage: Eukaryota; Viridiplantae; Streptophyta; Magnoliopsida; Poales; Poaceae. The record is from RNAcentral.
AUGGAGACAGGCGAAGGCAGCGGUUCUGCCGAUCCAGUGGACAAGCUCCUCGAGCGGCUCCACCUCCAUGAAGAAGAAGACAAGGGUUUCAUGUGGGAGGAACUGGCGGAGCCGCUGGCGAAGGCCAAGUGGCUGGCGAUUGCAAAAGUGCACACGUCCAGGGGCUUUAGCCCGAGCGCCUUGUUUGCAGACAUGAGAUCUGCGUGGAAUCCUGCAAAGGAGGUGAUUUUGAGAAGUGUUGAUGAUAAUCUGUUCACUGUGCAAUUCGGCUGCCUGGGAGAUUGGAAUAAGGCGAUGCUGAUGGGGUCGUGGUUUUUUCACAACCACGCUUUAAUGUUGGAGGAAUAUGAUGGUUUCGCUAACCCUAGAUCGUUGGUCUUGGAUAAGAUCACAGUUUGGGCUCAGGUUCACAAGUUACCAUACAAUUACCUCCAUGAACAGGUUGUGAGGGGGAUGUGCAGGCCGAUGGGAGAGGUUAAAGAGGUUCAGAUCAAGAUCCCAGUGGGGCUUCGUGGGAAAAUUCGUCAGAGUAAAGGUCAGUAUGAGGGUGGACAAGAAGAUCACAUGGUUUGUGUCUAUAACAAAGGAUGA